This 200-nucleotide ribosomal RNA is filed under the name uncultured bacterium. RNAcentral's name for it is "partial 16S ribosomal RNA". It matches the Rfam family "Bacterial small subunit ribosomal RNA", at positions 32 to 222 of the family's 1533-position model. The record is from RNAcentral.
AAUCAACGCUGGCGGCGUGCCUCAGACAUGCAAGUCGAACGAUUAAGACUUCCUUCGGGAAGUGUAUAAAGUGGCGCACGGGUGAGUAACACGUAAGUAAUCUACCCUCGAGUGGUGAAUAACGUUCGGAAACGAACGCUAAUACCGCAUAACGCAGCGGCACCGCAAGGUGACAGUUGUUAAAGGAGUAAUUCGCUUGA